GACAGGCCUAACACAUGCAAGUCGAGGGGUAGCACAGAAUCGCUUGCUAUUUGGGUGACGACCGGCGCACGGGUGAGUAACGCGUAUGCAACCUGCCUAUAAGAGGGGGAUAGCCUUUCGAAAGAAAGAUUAAUACCGCAUAAUACCAAUUUGCUGCAUGGUAGAUUGGUUAAACUAUUUGGCUUAUAGAUGGGCAUGCGUUCCAUUAGAUAGUUGGUGAGGUAACGGCUCACCAAGUCAGCGAUGGAUAGGGGUUCUGAGAGGAAGGUCCCCCACACUGGUACUGAGACACGGACCAGACUCCUACGGGAGGCAGCAGUGAGGAAUAUUGGUCAAUGGGCGAGAGCCUGAACCAGCCAAGUCGCGUGAAGGAUGAAGGUCUUAUGGAUUGUAAACUUCUUUUAUAAGGGAAUAAAAAAGAUCACGUGUGGUUUAUUGCAUGUACCUUAUGAAUAAGCAUCGGCUAACUCCGUGCCAGCAGCCGCGGUAAUACGGAGGAUGCGAGCGUUAUCCGGAUUUAUUGGGUUUAAAGGGUGCGUAGGCGGUUUAUUAAGUCAGUGGUGAAAGUUUUCGGCUCAACCGGAAAAUUGCCAUUGAAACUGAUAGACUUGAGUGUAAACGAGGUAGGCGGAAUUCGUGGUGUAGCGGUGAAAUGCUUAGAUAUCACGAAGAACUCCAAUUGCGAAGGCAGCUUACUAGGCUACAACUGACGCUGAAGCACGAAAGCGUGGGGAUCAAACAGGAUUAGAUACCCUGGUAGUCCACGCAGUAAACGAUGAUAACUAGCUGUUUGCGAUACACAGUAAGCGGCACAGCGAAAGCGUUAAGUUAUCCAC
This 836-nucleotide ribosomal RNA is filed under the name uncultured bacterium. Its description in RNAcentral is "bacterial SSU rRNA". It matches the Rfam family "Bacterial small subunit ribosomal RNA", at positions 41 to 872 of the family's 1533-position model. The record is from RNAcentral.